AUAGCUACUUGGUAAAGAACACUUUUAUUAAUUAAUUAAAAAAGAAAAAUAACAAUAAUCAUCAUUUUUCUAGAAUGCAAAUGAGUUUGAUGUCUACCAGUUAAUCCUGAAGCUGUUCAAAUUACCAUGAGUUUUGCAACUGAGUUUGUGGAGUGAGUUGACCCUGAUGGUAAUUGGUUCAAGGAGACCUCUUGCAUCAUAGAACUGAAUUCUUGCUUCCUAAGAAUGUAGUUACAAAGGAGCAGUACCUGUCAUGCCGUGAGGAGUCUGUUUGAACUUGAUGGCUGUUCUUGGAUCAACUUUAAAACAGAUUUACAUCUUCUUAUAUGAACUUGCUUUUCCACUAAAAAAGUGUUCAUGCAUUGGUUUCCCAAAAGGUGCUCUCAGACAAUCUGAGAAUUUAAAGCCGGAGUAGGGUAGAUCUCAGUCUCUGGAACCCUAUAUCACAAGACACAGAAAUGUCUUAAACUGUAAGUGGAAGGUGUAAAUAUCUGAAAAGGUCAGCAGGUUUAUUAAAAUGAUUUGUUGCUUUUAUUUUGUUUAAGUACUUGAUGGCUUGCUUUUG
This 565-nucleotide long non-coding RNA is filed under the name Anas platyrhynchos platyrhynchos (common mallard). RNAcentral describes it as "lncRNA (ENSAPLG00000018942.1)". Lineage: Eukaryota; Metazoa; Chordata; Aves; Anseriformes; Anatidae. The record is from RNAcentral.